Molecule: ribosomal RNA, 465 nt
Filed under: uncultured bacterium
Lineage: Bacteria
Description: partial 16S ribosomal RNA
Rfam family: Bacterial small subunit ribosomal RNA
Source: RNAcentral
CUACGGGUUGCUGCAGUGAGGAAUAUUGCGCAAUGGGGGAAACCCUGACGCAGCGACGCCGCGUGGAUGAUGAAGGCCUUCGGGUCGUAAAAUCCUGUCAGAAGGAAAGAAGUGUAUGGUAGCUAAUAUCUGCCAUACUUGACGGUACCUUCAAAGGAAGCACCGGCUAACUCCGUGCCAGCAGCCGCGGUAAUACGGAGGGUGCAAGCGUUGUUCGGAAUUACUGGGCGUAAAGCGCGCGUAGGCGGUUUUAUAAGUCAGAUGUGAAAGUCCACGGCUCAACCAUGGAAGUGCAUUUGAAACUGUAAGACUUGAGUAUUGGAGGGGGUAGUGGAAUUCCCGGUGUAGAGGUGAAAUUCGUAGAUAUCGGGAGGAAUACCGGUGGCGAAGGCGACUAUCUGGCCAAAUACUGACGCUGAGGUGCGAAAGCGUGGGGAGCAAACAGGAUUAGAUACCCCCGUAGUC